GAUGAACGCUGGCGGCGUGCCUAACACAUGCAAGUCGAGCGCGAUUAGAUGGACUGGAGGCUUCGGCCAAAGGGAAGAUUAUGAAAGCGGCGGACGGGUGAGCAACGCGUGAGCAACCUGCCCUGUACAGGGGGAUAGCCACUGGAAACGGUGAUUAAUACCCCAUAACCCCAAAGGACCGGAUGGUCCACUGGGCAAAGCCACAAGCGGUACAGGAGGGGCUCGCGUCGGAUUAGCUAGUUGGUGAGGUAACGGCUCACCAAGGCGACGAUCAGUAGCCGACCUGAGAGGGUGAACGGCCACACUGGAACUGAGACACGGUACAGACUCCUACGGGAGGCAGCAGUGGGGAAUAUUGCACAAUGGGCGCAAGCCUGAUGCAGCAACGCCGCGUGAGUGAAGAAGGCCUUCGGGUCGUAAAACUCUGUCCUAAGGGAAGAAGAAGUGACGGUACCUUAGGAGGAAGCCCCGGCUAACUACGUGCCAGCCGCCGCCGUAA
RNAcentral lists this ribosomal RNA (499 nucleotides) under uncultured bacterium. Its description in RNAcentral is "partial 16S ribosomal RNA". It matches the Rfam family "Bacterial small subunit ribosomal RNA", at positions 28 to 523 of the family's 1533-position model. The record is from RNAcentral.